RNAcentral lists this ribosomal RNA (497 nucleotides) under uncultured bacterium. Its description in RNAcentral is "partial 16S ribosomal RNA". It matches the Rfam family "Bacterial small subunit ribosomal RNA", at positions 28 to 507 of the family's 1533-position model. The record is from RNAcentral.
GACGAACGCUGGCGGCGUGCCUAAUACAUGCAAGUAGAACGCUGAAGAGAGGAGCUUGCUCUUCUUGGAUGAGUUGCGAACGGGUGAGUAACGCGUAGGUAACCUGCCUUGUAGCGGGGGAUAACUAUUGGAAACGAUAGCUAAUACCGCAUAACAAUGGAUGACACAUGUCAUUUAUUUGAAAGGGGCAAUUGCUCCACUACAAGAUGGACCUGCGUUGUAUUAGCUAGUAGGUGAGGUAAUGGCUCACCUAGGCGACGAUACAUAGCCGACCUGAGAGGGGGAUCGGCCACACUGGGACUGGGACACGGCCCAGACUCCUACGGGAGGCAGCAGUAGGGAAUCUUCGGCAAUGGGGGCAACGCUGACCGAGCAACGCCGCGUGAGGGAAGAAGGUUUUCGGAUCGGAAAGCUCUGUUGUAAGUCAAGAACGGGUGUGAGAGUGGAAAGUUCACACUGUGACGGUAGCUUACCAGAAAGGGACGGCUAACUACGUG